UAAAGUAAAAGUAGAAAAACAUCGGGCCCUACACACCCUAACGGGUUCCUGAGAGGUGGGGAAUGCCCGUCCCACUUACUUUA
Molecule: non-coding RNA, 83 nt
Submitted as: unclassified sequences
Source: Rfam